CCUACGGGAGGCAGCAGUGAGGAAUAUUGGUCAAUGGGCGAGAGCCUGAACCAGCCAAGUCGCGUGAAGGAUGAAGGAUCUAUGGUUUGUAAACUUCUUUUAUAUGGGAGUAAAGUGAGGAACGUGUUCCUUUUGUAUGUAUCAUAUGAAUAAGCAUCGGCUAACUCCGUGCCAGCAGCCGCGGUAAUACGGAGGAUGCGAGCGUUAUCCGGAUUUAUUGGGUUUAAAGGGUGCGUAGGUGGUUAAUUAAGUCAGCGGUGAAAGUUUGUGGCUCAACCAUAAAAGUGCCGUUGAAACUGGUUGACUUGAGUAUAUUUGAGGUAGGCGGAAUGCGUGGUGUAGCGGUGAAAUGCAUAGAUAUCACGCAGAACUCCGAUUGCGAAGGCAGCUUACUAAACUAUAACUGACACUGAAGCACGAAAGCGUGGGGAUCGAACAGGAUUAGAUACCCCUGUAGUC
RNAcentral lists this ribosomal RNA (459 nucleotides) under uncultured bacterium. RNAcentral describes it as "partial 16S ribosomal RNA". It matches the Rfam family "Bacterial small subunit ribosomal RNA", at positions 338 to 795 of the family's 1533-position model. The record is from RNAcentral.